Molecule: ribosomal RNA, 544 nt
Filed under: Echinodiscus bisperforatus
Lineage: Eukaryota; Metazoa; Echinodermata; Echinoidea; Clypeasteroida; Astriclypeidae
Description: partial large subunit ribosomal RNA
Rfam family: Bacterial large subunit ribosomal RNA
Source: RNAcentral
GGUCCUGCCUGCCCAGUGACACAAGUUAAACGGCCGCGGUAUCUUGACCGUGCGAAGGUAGCAUAAUCAUUUGUCUCCUAAAUAGAGACUGGUAUGAAUGGCAAGACGGAACUUAUCUGUCUCCUUUUCUUCCAUCCUAAUUUCACUUCCCCGUGAAGAGGCGGGUUAAUAAUCGUUAGACGAGAAGACCCUAUCGAGCUUAAGUAAAACUUUAAUUUCUUAGACACUUUUGUUACUUUUCUAAUUUUUAAAACUAAAAAAGCAAAAGAAAGAUAAUUGAACUAAACUUUGGUUGGGGCAACCGCGGAGAAGAAUAAUCCUCCGCUUACAUUAAUAAAACAAAGGCACAACAAGCCUAAUAUUGAUUCAUCAAGUAUAAAUGAUCCACUAAGGUGAUCAAAGGAAAAAGUUACCGUAGGGAUAACAGCGUUAUCUUUUCUGAGAGUUCAUAUUGACGAAAAGGUUUGCGACCUCGAUGUUGGAUCGGGACAUCCAGGGGGUGCAGAAGCUUCCAAGGGUUGGUCUGUUCGACCAUUAAAGUCCU